Molecule: non-coding RNA, 67 nt
Organism: Planktomarina temperata RCA23
Lineage: Bacteria; Pseudomonadati; Pseudomonadota; Alphaproteobacteria; Rhodobacterales; Paracoccaceae
Source: Rfam
GGGCACCUACGGGGGCCUAAACACCAGCGGCCCAUAAGGGCUGCACGAAGCAAACGGAAGACAGAAA